This 501-nucleotide ribosomal RNA is filed under the name uncultured bacterium. RNAcentral describes it as "partial 16S ribosomal RNA". It matches the Rfam family "Bacterial small subunit ribosomal RNA", at positions 30 to 523 of the family's 1533-position model. The record is from RNAcentral.
AUUGAACGCUGGCGGCAUGCCUAACACAUGCAAGUCGAACGGCAGCAUGAAAUGGGGUAACCCAUUUUGAUGGCGAGUGGCGGACGGGUGAGUAAUAUGUAGGAAUCUACCUAGAGGUGCGGGAUAACUUAGGGAAACUUAAGCUAAUACCACAUAAGCCCUACGGGGGAAAGCAGGGGACCGCAAGGCCUUGCGCCUUAUGAUGAGCCUACAUCGGAUUAGCUUGUUGGUGGGGUAAAGGCCUACCAAGGCGACGAUCCGUAGCUGGUCUGAGAGGAUGAUCAGCCACACUGGGACUGAGACACGGCCCAGACUCCUACGGGAGGCAGCAGUGGGGAAUAUUGGACAAUGGGCGCAAGCCUGAUCCAGCAAUGCCGCGUGUGUGAAGAAGGCCUUAGGGUUGUAAAGCACUUUCAGUGGGGAGGAAGUUGAGUUUGCUAAUUAGAUGGACGUUACCCACAGAAGAAGCACCGGCUAACUCCGUGCCAGCCGCCGCGGUAA